This 813-nucleotide ribosomal RNA is filed under the name uncultured bacterium. Its description in RNAcentral is "bacterial SSU rRNA". It matches the Rfam family "Bacterial small subunit ribosomal RNA", at positions 8 to 796 of the family's 1533-position model. The record is from RNAcentral.
AGAGUUUGAUCAUGGCUCAGAACGAACGCUGGCGGCUGAUAAGACAUGCAAGUCGAACGCUGAUUUCAAGGUAGCAAUAUUUUGAAGUUGGAGUGGCGCAAGGGUGUGUAACACGUGGGUAAUCUGCCGUGAAGCCUGGGAUAACUUGCUGAAAGGCGAGCUAAUACCGGAUGUGAAAAUUGGAAGGCAUCUUUUGAUUUUCAAAGUUGGGGACCGCAAGGCCUGACGCUUUAUGAUGAACCCGCGGCCUAUCAGCUAGUUGGUGAGGUAAUAGCUCACCAAGGCUAAGACGGGUAGCUGGUCUGAGAGGACGACCAGCCACACUGGAACUGAGACACGGUCCAGACACCUACGGGUGGCAGCAGUCGAGAAUUUUUCUCAAUGGGGGAAACCCUGAAGGAGCGACGCCGCGUGGGGGAUGAAUGGCUUCGGCCCGUAAACCCCUGUCAUUCGGGAUCAAUGCUUGUUACUUAACACGUAAUAAGUUGAUAGUACCGGAAGAGGAAGGGACGGCUAACUCUGUGCCAGCAGCCGCGGUAAUACAGAGGUCCCAAGCGUUGUUCGGAUUUACUGGGCGUAAAGGGUGCGUAGGUGGUUGGGUAAGUCUGAUGUGAAAUCUCCGGGCUCAACCCGGAAAUGGCAUUGGAUACUACUUGACUCGAGGAUUGGAGGGGGGACUGGAAUACUUGGUGUAGCAGUGAAAUGCGUAGAUAUCAAGUGGAACACCAGUGGCGAAGGCGAGUCCCUGGACAACUCCUGACACUGAGGCACGAAAGCUAGGGGAGCAAACAGGAUUAGAUACCCUAGUAGUCC